UCGAGGAUCUUCGGCAAUGGGCGCAAGCCUGACCGAGCGACGCCGCGUGGACGAUGAAGGCCUUCGGGUUGUAAAGCACUGUCGAGGGGGAGGAAAGCCGAAAGGUUUGACCUAUCCCUGGAGGAAGCACGGGCUAAGUUCGUGCCAGCAGCCGCGGUAAGACGAACCGUGCGAACGUUGUUCGGAAUCACUGGGCUUAAAGGGCGCGUAGGCGGCAAAUCAAGUCCGGGGUGAAAUCCUGCAGCUUAACUGUAGAAGUGCCUUGGAUACUGAUUUGCUCGAGGGAGGUAGGGGUCUGUGGAACUUCUGGUGGAGCGGUGAAAUGCGUUGAUAUCAGAAGGAACGCCGGUGGCGAAAGCGACGGACUGGACCUCAUCUGACGCUGAGGCGCGAAAGCUAGGGGAGCAAACGGGAUUAGAUACCCCCGUAGUCC
Molecule: ribosomal RNA, 433 nt
Filed under: uncultured bacterium
Lineage: Bacteria
Description: bacterial SSU rRNA
Rfam family: Bacterial small subunit ribosomal RNA
Source: RNAcentral